CCUACGGGAGGCAGCAGUGGGGGAUAUUGCACAAUGGGGGAAACCCUGAUGCAGCGACGCCGCGUGGGUGAAGAAGCGCCUCGGCGCGUAAAGCCCUGUCAGCAGGGAAGAAAAUGACGGUACCUGAAGAAGAAGCCCCGGCUAACUACGUGCCAGCACCCGCGGUAAUACGUAGGGGGCAAGCGUUAUCCGGAUUUACUGGGUGUAAAGGGGGCGCAGACGGGGAUGCAAGCCAGGAGUGAAAGUCCGCGGCCCAACCCCGGGACUGGUCUUGGAACUGGGAGGCUAGAGUGCAGGAGGGGCAGGCGGAAUUCCUGGUGUAGCGGUGAAAUGCGUAGAUAUCAGGAGGAACACCGGUGGCGAAGGCGGCCUGCUGAACUGCAACUGACAGUGAGGCCCGAAAGCGUGGGGAGCAAACAGGAUUAGAGACCCUGGUAGUC
Molecule: ribosomal RNA, 440 nt
Filed under: uncultured bacterium
Lineage: Bacteria
Description: partial 16S ribosomal RNA
Rfam family: Bacterial small subunit ribosomal RNA
Source: RNAcentral